CAGCUUGUUGGUGAGGUAACGGCUCACCAAGGCGUCGACGGGUAGCCGGCCUGAGAGGGCGACCAGCCACGUUGGGACUGAGAUACGGCCCAGACUCAUACGGGAGGCAGCAGUGGGGAAUAUUGCACAAUGGGCGAAAGCUGAUGCAGCAACGCCGCGUGCGGGAUGACGGCCUUCGGGUUGUAACCGCUUUCAGCAGGGACGAAGGGUUUCUGACGGUACCUGCAGAAGAAGCACCGGCUAACUACGUGCCAGCAGCCGCGGUGAUACGUAGGGUGCGAGCGUUGUCCGGAAUUAUUGGGCGUAAAGAGCUUGUAGGCGGUUCGUUGCGUCGGAAGUGAAAACUCAGGGCUUAACCUGAGCCUGCUUUCGAUACUCUCGGACUUGAGGGAUGUAGGGGAGAACGGAAUUCCUGGUUGAGCGGUGGAAUGCGCAGAUAUCAGGAGGAACACCAGUUGCGAAGGCGGUUCUCUGGAAAUUUCCUGACGCUGAGAAGCGAAACGCGUGGGAGCAAACAGGCUUAGAUCCCCUGGUAGUCCACGCCGUAAACGGUGGGCACUAGGUGUGGGAUCCAUUCCACGGAUUCCGUGCCGAAGUAACGCAUUAAGUGCCCGCCUGGGAGUACCGCCGCAAGGCUAAAACUCAAAGGAAUUGACGGGGCCCCGCACAAGCGGCGGAGCAUGGGGAUUAAUUCGAUGCAACGCGAAGGACCUUACCUGGGUUUGACAUAUACCGGAAACAUCUGGAGACAGGUGCCCCGCAAGGUCGGAAUACAGGUGGUGCAUGGCUGUCGUCAGCUCGUGUCGUGAGAUGUUGGGUUAAGUCCCGCAACGAGCGCAACCCUCGUUCUAUGUUGCCAGCGGUUCGGCCGGGAACUCAUAGAAGACUGCCGGGGUCAACUCGGAGGAAGGUGGGGAUGACGUCAAGUCAUCAUGCCCCUUAUGUCCAGGGCUUCACGCAUGCAACAAUGGCUGGUACAAAGGGCUGCAAUACCGCAAGGUGGAGCGAAUCCCAUAAAGCCAGUCUCAGUUCGGAUUGGGGUCUGCAACUCGACCCCAUGAAGUCGGAGUCGCUAGUAAUCGCAGAUCAGCAACGCUGCGGUGAAUACGUUCCCGGG
This 1117-nucleotide ribosomal RNA is filed under the name Propionicimonas sp. RR52. RNAcentral's name for it is "bacterial SSU rRNA". It matches the Rfam family "Bacterial small subunit ribosomal RNA", at positions 242 to 1378 of the family's 1533-position model. The record is from RNAcentral. Lineage: Bacteria; Bacillati; Actinomycetota; Actinomycetes; Propionibacteriales; Nocardioidaceae.